Molecule: ribosomal RNA, 795 nt
Filed under: uncultured bacterium
Lineage: Bacteria
Description: bacterial SSU rRNA
Rfam family: Bacterial small subunit ribosomal RNA
Source: RNAcentral
AGAGUUUGAUCAUGGCUCAGAUUGAACGCUGGCGGCGUGCCUAACACAUGCAAGUCGAGCGGUAACAGGUGUAGCAAUACAUGCUGACGAGCGGCGAACGGGUGAGUAAUGCUUUGGAAUCUUCCCAGUAGUGGGGAAUAACCAGUCGAAAGAUUGGCUAAUACCGCAUACGUCUGUGAAGAGAAAGCGGGGGAUCGUAAGACCUCGCGCUAUUGGAUGAGCCAAAGUCGGAUUAGCUAGUUGGUGGGGUAAUGGCCUACCAAGGCGACAAUCCGUAGCUGGUCUGAGAGGACGACCAGCCACACCGGAACUGAGACACGGUCCGGACUCCUACGGGAGGCAGCAGUGGGGAAUAUUGGACAAUGGGGGAAACCCUGAUCCAGCGACGCCGCGUGUGUGAAGAAGGCCUGCGGGUUGUAAAGCACUUUUAGUGGGGACAAAAAGUCACGGGCUAACACCCUGUGAUCUUGAUUUAACUCACAGAAAAAGCACCGGCUAACUCUGUGCCAGCAGCCGCGGUAAUACAGAGGGUGCGAGCGUUAAUCGGAAUUACUGGGCGUAAAGCGCGCGUAGACGGUUUGGUAAGUCAGAUGUGAAAUCCCCGGGCUCAACCUGGGAACUGCAUUUGAUACUGCCUGGCUAGAGUAUGGAAGAGGGAAGUGGAAUUUCCGGUGUAGCGGUGAAAUGCGUAGAUAUCGGAAGGAACACCAGUGGCGAAAGCGACUUCCUGGUCCAAUACUGACGUUCAUGUGCGAAAGCGUGGGGAGCAAACAGGAUUAGAUACCCUAGUAGUCC